GAAAUUGAGUGUGAAAAAUCUGAUUCGACGUUUUGCCAUCAGCCAUCGAUCUAAAACCAGCAACCCUUGCUUCUUCACUCGAUCCCCACCACAGCAGCCAUCAGCGACCUUCUUCGUCCUCACAGCACAAAAAUGGCUUCCUACAGUCAGCUAUACUACAACCGCCCUUCACAACUCCCCCUCACCUCUGAACUCCAGCCAAAAGGGAGCAAAACCAACCAUGAAAAUAGCUUCAAAAACCAGUUGUGUAAGCUCACCGUUUUCACCAUUAAAGCACUGAAGAGUACGCAACAGUUCUCCAUCGAAACAGCCAAAACAUCAUAGCUCAAGCUCUAUUUUUUUGCAAAAGAUUACGCGGGGAAGGGUUGAGUUCGGGCUUUACGUCGAAGUCGCCGACGUUAUUUUACGGUCAGUGGUCCCAGCGUUGUUUUCCUCUAUUCGUAUUCGCGUUCAGUUCUUACUCGAAUUUUCUUGGUUUUGUGCUUAACAAGUGUAUGAUUUUUCAAUUAAGUGCUAUUAAGUUUGUUUAACAAAAGUUGAAUUUGAAAUCUUAAGAUUAAAACUUGGAUUGAAGUUGUGAUGUGCUUAAGGUCCAUAUGUGCUGAAAAUUUUGAAAAGUUUGAGUUAUAACUGAACUUGGACUAGAUCGUUUUGAGUUAACUAAUUUGAAUGAAUUCGACUAGCAUGCUUAGCUUGAUUUCUCAGUAUUGAGCUGAAAUUUGUUCUCAAUUUGUUGCUGCCGUUUGUGAAUCUCAACCCUUGAUAGAGUUUCUUAGUAGUUAAAUUGUCCUUGUAUCUGCUGAAUUCUGGUUUGAACUAUUUUGUGAGGCUGAACUUUUUAAAUUGGCUUUUUGGUUUGGAAACAAAGGAGUAGAAAAGGAACAACACCAGGGGAUGGGUGUUAUCCGCCAAGUUGUCCAAACAUAAAUGACUUGUUAUUAAAAAAAAUGCAAAUAACUGUUGUGCCUUUCAUUUGUUUUAGUUGAACAUAAGGCUUCCAUCAUAGUAUGGCACCAUAUGUCUCUAACAGUUUGGUUUGGAUUAAAAAAACGUAAAGAAUAUUUUGGAUAUUGAAUUGGACUAUGGGGAUUUGGACUUAAAAAGUCGGAUUAAUAAACAUUCGUAUUUUGCUUUAGGUACUUACUUAAAUCAUUGCAACUACGGGUACGGUUCCCGUGGCGUGGUUGUGAUACCUAAAUUAUUUAGUUGUAAAAAUGAAUAUCUGUAGUUUAACUAAUUGUUUUUUCAAGAAUAAAUUGCGGUGCGCCAUCCAAUCACCUAGUCUAUGACCCUCAUGAGCUAAUUUAGAAACCUUUUGGUUAGAAUAAAUCGAGGUGUGCCGUGCCGAACAAAAUCUCAAAAUGCAUUGCCCUCACCUAAUUAAUAUUUUAAUCCUUAGGAAUCGAGGUGUGCCAUUUAUUUGAAUUUCCAUGGCCCUCGCAAAGUUGAAAAUGCGUAGUUGAUUUAGGCGCGUAAUUUAAAAUUACCUUCCUAAACUCGGGUGUCCAUUUCAUGUGACCCAAAUCUAAAUCUUAACAACGUUAAAUAAAAUGUAUCUCGGACCGCGGGUGCAUUUAUGUGACGUUGUUCAAGACGUGUUUUAGAUGACGUUGAAUCUUUUCUAAAAAUAAUAAAUAAAAGCGGUUUUAAAGUUAAAAUUGCACCAUACUCUAAAACAUGUACUAAAAUCAAGUAAAUAGGCCAAUUAUAACAAUUGAGCGACCGUGCUAGAACCACGGAACUCGGGAAUGCCUAGUACCUUCUCCCGGGUUAACAAAAUUCAUUACCCGGAUUUCUGUGUUCGCGGACUAUAAUACAGAGUCAAUCUUUUCCUCGAUUCGGGAUUUGAACUGGUGACUUGGGACACCAUAAAAUUAUCCAAAGUGGAGACUCUGAAUUUUUUUUAAUAAAAUGAUCCUCGAUUCGGGAUUGUCACUUUAAUUUGGAAAAAACUCCUUUAUACCCUCUUCGGGGGUGUACGAAAAAAGGAGGUAUGACAGCUCUGGCGACUCUGCUGGGGAACGAGCCUACAAUCUCUGGUUCAGGGUUUAGAAUUCGAACUUAGAUGAAUUGUUAUAUUUGGCUUUAUAUAUUAUUUGAUUUUAUUAUAUAUUUGGGCUUAAUGUGCUAAAUGUUGCUUUUACCGCUUUGAUAUUAUUUGAACUGUAUAUAAACUUCUACGAAACCCUUUUCUUCUCAUAUUCGGGGAUGUGCACGCUGGCGUGACUCCCUAUUCUGUUAGUGUCAUACCUUGAAAUAAGAAAGAGGCUCAGACAAGUUACUAAACCGGAUGGCAUUUUGGUUCCUAGUACGUAGCCCCCUCCUCGACUCGAGUUAUCCGCUCGGGUGCACAAGUCUAGAACAAUAUACCCAGGUUUUAUACUUUGAAUAACUCAGCCUCAUGUCGGAUCCCUAAUAGGAAUGUUUGUUUGCAUCAUGUGCAUUUGACUUUGGAGACUCAACACAAGGGUUGGGUCUAUCUAGGACAGGUGUACCCGAAAUGAAAAGACCAUACUGAUGCAUCCUACUUGCUACUUGUGCAUUCAUUUGCUUCAGAUUUGCAUGUUGACCGGCUUAUCAAAUAAUAGGAGAAAAGUUGAGAGUCAAUGUGAGGGCUGAGAGAGGUAAUUUCCUGUUUUUGAAAAAAACUGAUGUCCCAAAAUAUACUGACACUCUGCCAAAAUUUUGAAGAAAAAAAAAGAAGAAAAAAAAUUUUGUUUAAAAAAAAUAGUUAGUUUUUGUUUUGUCAAAACUGCUCAAACUACACCAGUUUGAUUCUCACCGGAUGUGGGAUACGUAGGCAACCCCCAUCAGGUCCAACUUCCUUUUUGCAAAAACAUCCCAAAAAGAACCAAAUUUUAUUACUUUGUUGUAAGUAAGUAAGGUGAUGUCAUUCUUGUCGAAAAUAGCUAAAUGUCCCCUAAAGGACGCCGGAAGGCUCUUUUUGCAAGAACAUCCACCUUUGGUCUCUUUUUAAAAUUUUUGGGCCGGCUAGCAAGCCCAACCUUAAAAUCUUCUCCCCCGAAGUGCCGAAAGGCUGUAUUUGCAAAACCAGGUUUUGUUUUUGAAAUAAAAAUUUGAAAAAAAAAUAGUGUUAACUUUUCUUGAGUCAAAUGAGUCAUGAUUUUUCUUAAUCACCCUAAUAAACGUGCAGAAUGAGCACGAGCCAAAAUUUGCCAAUAACAGUCAUGAACAAGAUCCCUUUGGAGCUGUAUAUGUGGUGGAAAGAUUUGGGCAAAUCCGGGCAAGAUAGGGUCAAUCUCUACUAGGGGUGUCACACCGAGUUAUUGAAGAUCAGUCCUAGAGGAGACAUCAUAAAGGCGUUGGUUACGUUCUGGGACCCGGCUCACAACGUGUUUCAUUUCUCAAAUUUUGAACUCACACCAACUUUGGAAGAAAUAGCUGGAUAUAUUGGGAGCACUGAAGUUCCUCUAAGACACAAGUAUUUGAUUGCUCCAAGAGUGGUCGUUGUGCACAGGUUCCUAGAUUUCUUAAGAUAAGCAGGGGGUCCACAACCAAGAUUUGGCAACUGGUUUUUCCACUCUGCAGUUCAUAUACCAACGAUACUGACACAUAGGGUGGUUUAACAAUCCAGAAAGCAAAAUUUGCAGCAAAGGGAAUCGCCUCAAAUGGGAAGAACACAGGUGCUUUGCUUUUAUGGUGGUAUUCUUGGGUCUUGUAGUGUUUUCCAAGAAAUAUGGGAAUAUCGAUAUGCGGAUAGCUGGGGUCUUCAGCACUUUGCUUAGUCAUGCCAAAAGCACCCUCGCACCCAUGAUAGUGUCUGAAAUCUUUUGCGCUCUCACAACCUACAAAGCUGGAGGAGACUUUUUUGAAGGGUGCAACUUGCUGCUACAAAUAUGGAUAAUUGAACAUCUACGUCAUCAUCCACAAUACAUGAACUAUGGGUCAACAGAGAAAACUGCAUAAAGGAGUUUUAUACAAAGGUUGACGGUUUUAGAAUGCCGGAAGGGGUCACAGAAUGGAUAUCACGUCUCCAUUCUGUCACUGCAAAUCAAAUAGAAUGGACGUUCGGGUGGCUUACUAUAGAUGAAAUCAUAUACAUGCCAGCUACCAGGCCCCACUUCCUCCUGAUAGGUCUCAGAAGUAUCAAGCCUUAUGCCCCAUACCGGGUUUUGAGACAGCUGAGGAGAUGUCAAAUAGUUCCAAAGGAUGAAGACCUUAGCGCUCAGGUAGUCGAGAUUGGUUCUAACGGUCAAUUUCAUGAAGCAGUAGUUCGCCAGAUCUGAAAUGAGUGUCAAUACUUGACAGCAAACACCCAAGUGCGUGAUUUAUCUUGAGGUGAAGUUUCACCAGGGUACCUUGCUUGUAAUAAAAGGGAAGUUGAGUUUGGAAGGCCGGCCAAAAGAACCCAUCUUCAAGAAUUUAUCGAGGCGUCACAAGCGCAAUGGGAUUGGUUGGCCAAAGAAAAUGAGUAUAGGGCUACCAUAAGCAAGCUGGAAAAGCAAGUCAAGGAUCUUCAAUUCGAGAAUGGUUUGCAAGCCUCCAUGGGUGAGGGCGAAAAGGAAAAGUUAGCCAAAGAAAAUGAGGCCCUUCGAGCCAGAUUCGGGAAAUGAAAAUAGCAGCCAAAACCCCCACAAGAAGUGCAAAGAUGAAAAGCUUAUAAAUAACCUUAGGCAGAAGGUGAGUGAGUAUGGUUUUGAUUUGAAUAAGGCCGAGGGUGAACUAGCAAAGGAUCGAACAAAAUUGGCUAAGAAUGCGAAGGAACGAGCGCGCUUGGUUAAACAGUUAAAAGAGAGAUAUGGCAAUGAGGUCGUGGGGUUGAAGAAAAAGAUCACCAUCUUUGAGAACAAAAAUGAUCAAGCAGGAAAAAGACUUUAAGGCAGAAAGAGAACACUGUUAUGCAGUGAUGGAACAGUUUGAAAGAGAUCUGUAACAACUUCAAGAAUAGAAUCAUAUAGCUGAACAAACUUUGGAAGCUAUGGGCCUAACAGAUUGGGCAUUUGUUGCAAGAAAAGGGCAUCAUAAGAGAAAGGGUCGGAAGGAUUGCCGACUACAUCACAAUGAAAUGUAGUGAGUGUGAGGACAUGACCAGAUCCAUGUUCUUCGACACUAUUAUGACAUUUGUCUCCCAGAUAAUGGAAGAUCUCUAUCAUCUCCAAGGGGAUUUAACGCGUAUGCCCGUAGAGAGAUCGAAUGAUGUCCCGAGGGCCCCAGGAGCAGUUGAGGCAUUGAUGUAUUCAUCAUUUUUGUUGGAGUCUGUUAGUCUAUUUUCGAGUCUGUAUUUUCAUUUUUCUAUUGGAGUUUGUGAGUCUGUUUUCGAGUAUGUAUUUUUAUUUUUUUAGAGUCUGUCAAUUCCUUUUUCUUGAGUCUGUUAGUUUUUAUCAUUAAAAUUGGUAGGAUGGGUCGUUGUAGUCAAAACGUUUAUUCUAUGAAAAAAUUUGAAAAUCCCAAAAUAUUUUAUUAUUUACUUUUACACUUAUCCCCCAGAACUACGCUUGGUCUGAUUUAUGCGCGGUCAUGAUACGCAGACAAUCUCCAUAGGAUUCGAUCCUAACCAAAAGAAAAAAAAAGAAAAGAAGAAGGAAGGAAAAAAAGGGAAAAAAACAAGAAAGAAAAGAAAAGAAAAAGAGAGAGAAGGCAAGAAACUGUGGGAAGGAAUCAAUGGAAAAACAAGAGGGAGAAAUGAGAGAAUAAAGAGCAACGAGAAAUCAAGCAAAGAAAGGCAUGAGUGAAAAAAAAAGCGGAAGAAGUUGCAAAUGAAAAUUAGGGAAAGUCGGGAUGACGCAAGCAACCGAUCAAAUGCAUAAUAGAAAUGGUUAACUGCAUAGGUGCAUUGCAUCCCCAAUGUGUGGUUGUCUAUCUGUUAAAUUCCCUAACGCUAACGGGAUGACCCCAUUUUGUUCCUUUUGAAAUCUUUAUAGCAGAAAGGUGGUUGGUUUGUGGUUCUCAAAGUAGUAACUCCUCUCUACAACAUAAAGUCAAAAGGCAAUGGCAGACAACAACAAAACUGAGUUGGUUAAUACAGGUACCCAAAAGCAAUUGGUCGAACAGGACAAUGGGUUGGUUGAAGAGGUGAGGAUGUUAAGACAACACAUGGUGGACAUGUAUCAGGCCUGGAUGACUGGGAAGGCACCACCCCCGCCACCACCUAGAUUCUUAGAUGCUACCCUUACCCAAACUCCGGUCAUAGUGCCGGAUGAUCCCCCAUACUCUCCAGAUUCACCCGCUUAUCAUGGCUUUCCCAACCACCCUAGUAGCUUCAUCACUCAUCCUCCAAUUACCUCUCCCCAAAAUUGUCCUCCUGUCAUAUCCACUAUCCCUAACAAUGAAUACCCACUCAAUGUUCAUGACACCCAAUACUACCUCACAGAGGUCGCCCACAAGGUUCCUCACUCAUACAAGAAGAGCCCUCGGGAUGAGCUUCAUGCUGAACAUGAAAAUGUCACAGGAAAAGAAGGGCGAGAUGAGAUAUCCAGGAAGCUUAAAAGUAUAGAACAGUCCUUAAAGAACAUGCAAGGGAUGGGAGGCCAGGUUAACAUGUCUUACAAAGAAUUAUGUAUGUUCCCUGACGUUCUCCUACCCGCGGGGUUUAAAGUGCCAAAGUUUAACUUGUAUGAUGGGUGUGGAGAUCCGGUAGCCUAUAUGAGGGGUUAUUGUAGUGAAAUGAGAAGUGUUGGCGAGAAAGAUGAUUUGUUGAUGGCGUAUUUUAGUGAGAGCUUGACUGGGGCAGCUUGGGAAUGACAUAAUCAUCAAGAUGUCAGUAAGUGGCAUACAUUGGGUGACAUGGCUCAAGAUUUUGUGCGACACUUUCAGUAAAAUAUAGACAUUGUCCCAGACCACUCCUCCCUAUCUCAGAUGGAGAAGAAACCCAAGGAAGGUUUUAGGGAUUUUUGGAUCAGAUGGAACAAACAAGUUGCUUGGGAUAGUCCUCCUAUUGAUAGAAAAGAUGUUGUUGAGCCCCAACGACGAUAGGGUCCAGUGGUCGUUCUUCCUAAAUGUUUUCAGCCUCAAUAUCGACCACGCGGAUAUCCUUGUAAUUCUCCCUACUGCUACUUCUCUCCACAGAACCCCCAAAAUCGUACAUCACUUCCACGAUACCCCGUCCACAAUGCACCGCCAUAUGCUCCACAUCCACGAGGCCCGUGAUGGCCAACACCACUUCCACAAAUGUUUUACACGCCCCCUCAGGCAUAUCAACCACAUACCCGCAAAAGGUUCUAACCGAGGCUAGAGUAUAAAAUGAAAAGACUACUGAAAAAAGAAAAUGCUUUCACCCCUAUUAGAGAAUCGUAUGCCAGUCUGUUCCAAAGGUUGAGGCAAUUGGACAUGUUGAAGCCGAUUCAGAUAAAAAUGCCAAACCCUCUUCCAAAGAAGUUUGAUUUUUCUCAAAGGUGCGCAUAUUGCUCAGAUGCCCCGGGGCAUGACAUAGAAAAGUGUUGGCAUCUGAAAGGAGCAGUCCAGAAGCUUAUUGAUGCAAGUGACAUUACCGCACAAAAUCCAAAUGCAGCAGAUACUAGCCAAACUCCAUUUCCUGAGACUCAUAUGGAGGACAUGAUUUGUAUGGAAAAAAGAAUAUGAGAACUAUUCUGAGAUCCUCGGAGGGCCAGUUGCCGCAAAGCUUUCAGUGCUAUCACUCUUGGUUCCAAAAGUUGAUCAUAAGAACAAGCCGGCCAAAGGGACGCAAAAGCAAUUUGCUAAGGACAAUGAGAUGAAAACUUGCGAAGGUUCUAGCAAUUUUGAUGUUGAACUCAGUGGCUAAGAAGCAGAGCAUGGUAAUUGGAAAGACAUUCCUCUCUUGGCUAGCUGGGGAGGAGUCUUGGCGGUUUAUUUUGUUGUCAUUUCUAUUGUUCGGGUUAUUUUCAGGGUUGUAAUCCGGAUAUUGUCUUGUGACUCAAACCCUUCUAUACUUUUAUUUUGCCUUGUUUGUUUAGUCGUAGUAGCUCUUUUAGUGUUGUCUAGGUUGGUUCCAGGGUUGUAACCCCAAUUUAGUUUGCUUGUUUUGUUGUUCAAACCCUUUCACCGUCUGUCUAAUGCAAUUUUCUGUUUUCUGUUAUUUCUAGUCAUUUUUGGUUAGUUCUCUCUUCUUUUUAUAGUCCUUUUCCUAUUGACUCUACUGACAUGACAUGCACGUGUAACUCUCAGCCUGAUUUAAAAAAGUUAGUUUAAUCGUGAAGCAAUUUGGGAAAUGAUAUGGACAUUUGAGGGAAAUAAGUGAAGGGAUUUUGAGAUCACAAAGACCAAAUUGUGUGAAACUAGGGUAGAUAGAACAUAAAGAAACACUAUUGAAAUGCAUCCUACCACAUCAAGCUGAAGUUAAAGGCAAGUUUGCCCCAAAUUGGCAGGGGCCGUGUUGGUAAUGAGACUGUUGUCCACUGGUGCUUUGUAUUUAACAGAUGUAGAAGGAAAAUGUGUGGAUAUGGCUAUCAAUUCUGAUGUAGUCAAAAGAUAUUAUGUAUAAUUUCUUUAGUUUGUUUAUUUGUGGUGUUUGUACUUGGCAUGUUUUGAAGAUUGGAAUGACGAAGACAUUUUGUUCUGCUAUCUAAACAUUUUAUCCUUUGUUAUCCCUUCGAGACUUAUUUAAUUUCUUUCUUAUCCCUCUGUUAGAAUCAAAAGCAGAGUUUAGAAAUAUGAUAAAGAAAAAAGGAGAGAAAAGAAAAAGAAAAAGAANNNNNNNNNNNNNNNNNNNNGACUUCAAAAUUUAUCACCAACUUUCCAAAUUGCACAAAACGAGAUCUGGAUAGCACAUCAAAGUGGCAUAAGUCAGGAAAGAACAACAUGCGCACUGAGUUAGUAACAAUCAACAUGCUUUGGGGUUCAUGUGAAAUACAAAGGUUUGGUAUAUAUCAAUUCAUGAACAAUGCAACAGAUGGAGGCUUAGGGUGAACGGAUCAAAGGCAUUUUCUAUGAUAUGAUUGACAAAGAGAGUGGUUAACCAGUGACAAGCAAGGUCUUCCAAGCAGAAAUCAAAGUUAUCAUGGCAAGUGAUGGAGCAAUAGACCUCAAGGCCAAGGCCAGUGAUUUAAGUCAGGAAAGAACAGCAUGUGCACUGGGUGGAUGGCAAUUGAUGUGCUUUGGGAUUCAUGAGAAAAACAAAGGUUCAUUACAUAUCAAUGCAAAAGCACAAUGCAACAGAUGAAUGGUAUUGGGUUUGAACGGAUUAGAGGUAUUCUCCAUGAUAAAGGUGAUAGAGAAAAAUGGUCAGUCAAUAAACAAGAAAGGUCUUUCGAGUUGAAAUCGAAGCUACCACAUGAAGUGAAGAAGCAAUCGCCCUCAAAGUUCAAGGCCAUAAACCAACCACCAUGUUUAAAGUGACAAGAUUUUUCUUUAAUUUGAAAUAGGGGCAAAAAAAUUUGUUUGUUUCAGAGAAACCCUCCGUAAGGAAAAGCAAGAACCAGAUCGGUUUGACCAUAAAUUCUCAGGACCCUCCUGGAUAAUGGGACCUAGUUUUAAAUUCCAAACAAUCAUGAGUAGCAAGAUCUAGCAUAAAUGUACCCCCAAAAAAAUAUAAGUUGGUUUCAAAGUUUUCAUUCUUGAGAUAGGAUUCAAUUAGGAGUUGUCAGAACCCUCCUGAAUAAUGGGACCUAGCUUUAAGAUUUCCAUUAGAUAACAAUAUUUAGCGUAAGUACUGCUGUAGUGUGGUAUAAUUCAGCCGUAAAAGUUGUCACUCUUAAAAUAAGACUUGAUUUUUGAUUUUCAGGACCCUCCUAGAUAAUGGGAUAUAACUUUAAGAUUUUCUUAGAUAUCACCUUUAGAAGAUAUAAUUUAGCUUUAGAACUGUCAUUGGGAUCUAGCUUUCAAAUUCUUAGUGAUAUUUGGUAACAUGAAUCAGUUAACACUAACAGAUGUGCCCAGCUACCAAAUUGGGGUAGAAAUUCUCUUUAUUUUGUCUAUUUUGUUGAAGUCAGGAGCCCACCUGGAGAAAAAAGCAAAUCAAGCGUCGGUAAUCAGGAGCCCACCUGAAGAACAAAGCAAAUCAAGCAUCGGUAAUUAGGAGCCCACCUGGAGAACAAAG
Molecule: long non-coding RNA, 9973 nt
Filed under: Nicotiana tabacum (common tobacco)
Lineage: Eukaryota; Viridiplantae; Streptophyta; Magnoliopsida; Solanales; Solanaceae
Description: long non-coding RNA (NTAB_LNC015491)
Source: RNAcentral